GCGGGAAACCUUUACAAUGCACGAAAGUGCGAUAGGGGAACCCAAAGUGCUCGCUUACAGCGGGCUUUUGCCAAGUCUAAACAGCUUGGCGAAUAAGUGGUGGGUAAGACCGGUGCCAGCCGCCGCGGUAACACCGGCGCCACGAGUGGGGGUCACGAUUAUUGGGCCUAAAGCGUUCGUAGCCGACCUUGUAAGUCUCUUGUGAAAUUGUCAGGCUUAACCUGGCGAAUGGCAAGAGAUACUGCUUGGUUAGGGACCGGGAGGAGGCAGAGGUACUCUUUGGGUAGCGGUAAAAUGCUAUAAUCCUUAGAGGACCACCUGUGGCGAAGGCGUCUGCCUAAAACGGGUCCGACGGUGAGGAACGAAAGCUGGGGGAGCAAACCGG
This 385-nucleotide ribosomal RNA is filed under the name uncultured euryarchaeote. RNAcentral describes it as "bacterial SSU rRNA". It matches the Rfam family "Archaeal small subunit ribosomal RNA", at positions 339 to 727 of the family's 1478-position model. The record is from RNAcentral. Lineage: Archaea; Methanobacteriati; Methanobacteriota.